RNAcentral lists this ribosomal RNA (253 nucleotides) under uncultured bacterium. RNAcentral describes it as "partial 16S ribosomal RNA". It matches the Rfam family "Bacterial small subunit ribosomal RNA", at positions 524 to 776 of the family's 1533-position model. The record is from RNAcentral.
GACAGAGGGUGCAAACGUUGCUCGGAAUUACUGGGCGUAAAGCGCGUGUAGGCGGAUUGGUGUGUCAGAUGUGAAAUCCCUGGGCUCAACCCAGGAACUGCACCUGAAACUACCAGUCUUGAGUGAUGGAGAGGGAAGUGGAAUUCCUGGUGUAGAGGUGAAAUUCGUAGAUAUCAGGAGGAACACCAGUGGCGAAGGCGGCUUCCUGGACAUCAACUGACGCUGAGACGCGAAAGCGUGGGGAGCAAACAGG